UACGUAGGGUGCGAGCGUUGUCCGGAAUUAUUGGGCGUAAAGGGCUCGUAGGCGGUUUGUCGCGUCGGGAGUGAAAUCCACUGGCUUAACUGGUGGCUUGCUUUCGAUACGGGCAGACUGGAGGUAUGCAGGGGAGAACGGAAUUCCUGGUGUAGCGGUGAAAUGCGCAGAUAUCAGGAGGAACACCCGUGGCGAAGGCGGUUCUCUGGGACGGUACUGACGCUGAGACGCGAAAGCGUGGGGAGCGAACAGG
RNAcentral lists this ribosomal RNA (253 nucleotides) under uncultured bacterium. RNAcentral's name for it is "partial 16S ribosomal RNA". It matches the Rfam family "Bacterial small subunit ribosomal RNA", at positions 524 to 776 of the family's 1533-position model. The record is from RNAcentral.